This 460-nucleotide ribosomal RNA is filed under the name uncultured bacterium. RNAcentral's name for it is "partial 16S ribosomal RNA". It matches the Rfam family "Bacterial small subunit ribosomal RNA", at positions 338 to 795 of the family's 1533-position model. The record is from RNAcentral.
CCUACGGGAGGCAGCAGUGAGGAAUAUUGGUCAAUGGACGAGAGUCUGAACCAGCCAAGUAGCGUGAAGGAUGACUGCCCUAUGGGUUGUAAACUUCUUUUAUAAAGGAAUAAAACGCGGCACGUGUGCCUUUUUGCAUGUACUUUAUGAAUAAGGAUCGGCUAACUCCGUGCCAGCAGCCGCGGUAAUACGGAGGAUCCGAGCGUUAUCCGGAUUUAUUGGGUUUAAAGGGAGCGUAGGUGGGUUGUUAAGUCAGUUGUGAAAGUUUGCGGCUCAACCGUAAAAUUGCAAUUGAUACUGGCAGUCGUGAGUACAGUUGAGGUAGGCGGAAUUCGUGGUGUAGCGGUGAAAUGCUUAGAUAUCACGAAGAACCCCGAUUGCGAAGGCAGCUUACUAAACUGUGACUGACAUUGAUGCUCGAAAGUGUGGGUAUCAAACAGGAUUAGAUACCCUAGUAGUC